RNAcentral lists this ribosomal RNA (1483 nucleotides) under uncultured bacterium. Its description in RNAcentral is "bacterial SSU rRNA". It matches the Rfam family "Bacterial small subunit ribosomal RNA". The record is from RNAcentral.
AGAGUUUGAUCAUGGCUCAGGACGAACGCUGGCGGCGCGCCUUACGCAUGCAAGUCGCACGGACCUUCGGGUUAGUGGCGGACGGCUGAGUAACGCGUAGGUAACCUAUCCAGUGGUGGGGGAUAACUCGCUGAAAGGCGAGCUAAUACCGCAUGUGAUCCCGGAGUGAGAUUCUCCGGGAGGAAAGCCGCAAGGCGCCACUUGAGGGGCCUGCGUCCUAUCAGGUAGUUGGUGGGGUAACGGCCUACCAAGCCUGUGACGGGUAGCUGGUCUGAGAGGACGACCAGCCAGAAGGGGACUGAGACACGGCCCCUACUCCUACGGGAGGCAGCAGCGAGGAAUCUUGGGCAAUGGGCGAAAGCCUGACCCAGCGACGCCGCGUGAGGGAUGAAGGCCUUCGGGUCGUAAACCUCUUUUGUGAGGGAAGAAGUUCUGACGGUACCUCACGAAUAAGCCACGGCUAACUACGUGCCAGCAGCCGCGGUAAUACGUAGGUGGCAAGCGUUGUCCGGAUUUACUGGGCGUAAAGGGCUUGUAGGUGGUUCGUUAAGUCCAGUGUGAAAUCUCCCGGCUCAACUGGGAGGGGCCAUCGGAAACUGGCGAGCUAGAGGUGGGCAGAGGAAAGCGGAAUUCCCGGUGUAGCGGUGAAAUGCGUAGAUAUCGGGAGGAACACCAGUGGCGAAGGGCGGCUUUCUGGGCCUAUCCUGACGCUGAGGAGCGAAAGCGUGGGGAGCAAACCGGAUUAGACACCCGGGUAGUCCACGCCCUAAACUGUGGAUGCUAGGUGUGGGGGGUAUCGACCCCCUCUGUGCCGUAGCUAACGCUUUAAGCAUCCCGCCUGGGGAGUACGGCCGCAAGGCUAAAACUCAAAGGAAUUGACGGGGGCCCGCACAAGCGGCGGAGCGUGUGGUUUAAUUCGAUGCAACGCGAAGAACCUUACCAGGGCUUGACAUGCUAGUGGUACGGAUCGGAAACGUGAAGGACCCUUCGGGGAGCUAGCACAGGUGCUGCAUGGCUGUCGUCAGCUCGUGCCGUGAGGUGUUGGGUUAAGUCCCGCAACGAGCGCAACCCUCGCCGUCAGUUAUAUUUCUCUGACGGGACCGCUGGGAUAAACCCAGAGGAAGGUGGGGAUGACGUCAAGUCAGCAUGGCCCUUACGUCCUGGGCUACACACACGCUACAAUGGCCGGUACAAUGGGCUGCCAAGGCGCGAGCCGGAGCUAAUCCCGCAAAGCCGGCCUCAGUUCAGAUUGCAGGCUGCAACUCGCCUGCAUGAAGGCGGAGUCGCUAGUAACCGUAGGUCAGCACACUACGGUGAAUACGUUCCCGGGCCUUGUACACACCGCCCGUCACGUCAUGGAAGCCGGCAGCACCUGAAGCCGUUGAGCCAACGCGUAAGCGGGGCAGGCGCCUAGGGUGAGGCUGGUAACUGGGACGAAGUCGUAACAAGGUAGCCGUAAAGGGCGAAUGGCGUCCGCUACAUC